CCGAUGAGGUGGAAACGGACAGAGCUGGCGUAUCUGGCCUGCAUUCAGCCGCCGCGCGUCGGGCCCCGGUUUGCCGCACUCCAGAUUGGGAAGGUGGCUGGGCUGCUGGCGUGUCGGUGGUGCAUUUGCAGGUGGAGUGCGCCAAGGGGGGAGGCUCAGCGGCAUGAGCUCGGCUUUGAGGCCAACCGCGCAAGCGGUCUGGUACCCGGGUCGGGGGAGUGUUGUUUGGGCUGAGUGUUCGCUUGGGCACUGGUUUCGGGCCCGGGUGGGUGCCGAGCUGGCGGUGGACGGCGGUCGCGUGCGACACAUGUCUUCAGUCAGUUCGGUCCUGCUCGAGCUCUCGCGUGUCCGGCCUCGGUGUAAAAGCCGGUCAUCUGUCCGACCCGUCUUGAAACACGGACCAAGGAGUUUAGCGUGUGCGCGAGUCAUUGGGCGUUAAAAACCCAAAGGCGCAAUGAAAGUGAAGGUCUGCCUUGUGCAGCUGAAGUGUGAUCCUGGGCGCCGCGAUGCCCGGGCGCCACAUAUUCCCGACCCGACUGCAUGCAGUGGGGCGGAGACAGAGCGUACGCGCUGAG
This 575-nucleotide ribosomal RNA is filed under the name Helicotylenchus pseudorobustus. RNAcentral's name for it is "partial large subunit ribosomal RNA". It matches the Rfam family "Eukaryotic large subunit ribosomal RNA", at positions 405 to 813 of the family's 3401-position model. Lineage: Eukaryota; Metazoa; Nematoda; Chromadorea; Rhabditida; Hoplolaimidae. The record is from RNAcentral.